Long non-coding RNA from Eptesicus fuscus (big brown bat), 341 nucleotides. RefSeq lists it as uncharacterized. The transcript is spliced from 3 exons. NCBI's taxonomy places the organism in Eukaryota, Metazoa, Chordata, Mammalia, Chiroptera, Vespertilionidae. The record is from RefSeq and is a predicted model, not a curated record.
CUGCUCUCAGAUGUUCAGAGAAUGAGCUGGGUUGUUGUGUUUCAUUAAGCUGCAGCUAAUAGGCCCGAUGGUCCUCGCACACGACUAGCUGGCCAAGAGCAUGGAGUGAGCAAAGGUGUUCUUCAGUGAUGUCUGGGAAGUACUGGGAAGUCAUUGCUUUGUUGGUACAGAGCCUGGACCUGGGUAUAGCCACCCAAUCCCAAUCAAGAGACCAGCACCAUUGGGCUGGCUCCUCGCCCCUCCAAAACAAACACCACUCCUCAGUGUUCCAAACAUCCCAUCCUUCCUCCCUUCUCAGGCUUACAUUUGAGUAGGUGCUCAAAGUUUAGGUGAAAGAGUAA